Molecule: ribosomal RNA, 447 nt
Filed under: uncultured bacterium
Lineage: Bacteria
Description: bacterial SSU rRNA
Rfam family: Bacterial small subunit ribosomal RNA
Source: RNAcentral
UCGGGAAUUUUGGGCAAUGGGCGAAAGCCUGACCCAGCAACGCCGCGUGAAGGAUGAAGUAUUUCGGUAUGUAAACUUCGAAAGAAUAGGAAGAAUAAAUGACGGUACUAUUUAUAAGGUCCGGCUAACUACGUGCCAGCAGCCGCGGUAAUACGUAGGGACCAAGCGUUGUUCGGAUUUACUGGGCGUAAAGGGCGCGUAGGCGGCAAUUCAAGUCAUCUGUGAAAUCUCCGGGCUUAACUCGGAACGGUCAGAUGAUACUGCUUUGCUAGAGUGCAGAAGGGGCAAUCGGAAUUCUUGGUGUAGCGGUGAAAUUCGUAGAUAUCGAGAGGAACACCGGUGGCGAAGGCGGCCAACUGGACGAAUACUGACGCUGAGACUCGAAAGCGUGGGGAGCAAACAGGAUUAGAUACCCCAGUAGUCCCUGAGCGGGCUGGCAAGGCGCAU